UACGUAGGGUGCGAGCGUUAAUCGGAAUUACUGGGCGUAAAGCGCACGUAGGCGGUUGGUUAAGUUGGAUGUGAAAGCCCCGGGCUCAACCUGGGAAUUGCAUUCAAAACUGGCCAACUAGAAUACGGGAGAGGGGGGUAGAAUUCCAAGUGUAGCGGUGAAAUGCGUAGAGAUUUGGAGGAAUACCAGUGGCGAAGGCGGCCCCCUGGCCCGAUAUUGACGCUGAGGUGUGAAAGCGUGGGGAGCAAACAGG
This 253-nucleotide ribosomal RNA is filed under the name uncultured bacterium. RNAcentral's name for it is "partial 16S ribosomal RNA". It matches the Rfam family "Bacterial small subunit ribosomal RNA", at positions 524 to 776 of the family's 1533-position model. The record is from RNAcentral.